GGGAAGGGUGAAUAGGCGUAAGCUAAAAUCGUCGCCACUUAAAAUAAGUUUAUCAGCGACUUGCGGAUUAGUCUGAAAAUACUUCCAGAGAUUCCGCAAAUUACGGAAUCUUCGAAGAAAUCUCCAGAAUCUCCGAAGAUAGAAAAAGCUCACGUUAAGCAGUGGAACAAAAUAGUCUACCUGAAAAUCGGAGCUUUCGGUUUCAUAACCAGAACUUCUGAUUUUGUCUUGGGCAGAGAGAAACCCUAGACCUUAUGCGUUGCAUGUGAGGUAAAAAACAAACAAGGUUUAGAGAGAUGCUCAGAUGGUGUUUCUUAGUAGGAUCACAAAGUUCCUGCACUUCACAAACACUAACACCCGAGCAGAUCAACCAAUAUUAUGAUAUCACAACGAAAUGGAAGUGCAAUGCAAAAGUAAGCAAACCAGUGAGAAGACACAAUGAUUUGUUUAACCAAAGUUCAGAUUCUCCCCAGGCGAAUCCUACAUCUCCGUUGGGUGCUUCCAAAGAAGCCGGGUUGCACUCAACCCCUUUCCCACUUCACUAGUUAGCUUCUUCCCUUUCAGACGUGAAGCUUGACCUGCACAAACUGUCUCGUGGCUCACCACACCUUGGGAGCUCUUGGGCAACACCUAGCCGUCUAGGAGGAACACACUGAACACCUCCGAGAGUAACAAAUGUUUCACUUGAAACUUGACAAGGCAAACCAGUGCUCAAGCGUAUGAGUGCUCUUCUAGUGCUCUCAAAUGGCUCCUCUUUACAACCCAACUCACAAGAUCUAGCAAAGAUC
This 788-nucleotide long non-coding RNA is filed under the name Setaria viridis. Its description in RNAcentral is "long non-coding RNA (SVIR_LNC010516)". The record is from RNAcentral. Lineage: Eukaryota; Viridiplantae; Streptophyta; Magnoliopsida; Poales; Poaceae.